AUUGAACGCUGGCGGCAGGCCUAACACAUGCAAGUCGAACGAGUGGCGGACGGGUGAGUAAUGUCUGGGAACCUGCCCGCAGGAGGGGGAUAACUACUGGAACCGGUAGCUAAUACCGCAUACCAUCGGAUGUGCCCAGAUGGGAUGAGCUAGUGGGUGGGGUAACGGCUCACCUAGGCGACGAUCCCUAGCUGGUCUGAGAGGAUGACCAGCCACACUGGAACUGAGACACGGUCCAGACUCCUACGGGAGGCAGCAGUGGGGAAUAUUGCACAAUGGGCGCAAGCCUGAUACAGCAAUGCCGCGUGUAUGAAGAAGGCCUUCGGGUUGUAAAGUACUUUCAGCGAGGAGGCGUUACUCGCAGAAGAAGCACCGGCUAACUCCGUGCCAGCAGCCGCGGUAAUUC
RNAcentral lists this ribosomal RNA (406 nucleotides) under uncultured bacterium. RNAcentral's name for it is "partial 16S ribosomal RNA". It matches the Rfam family "Bacterial small subunit ribosomal RNA", at positions 30 to 526 of the family's 1533-position model. The record is from RNAcentral.